CUCAGGUGCUGUUGUAGGCGGAAAAAAAUAUCUUCAACUGUGAAUGCCAGUAGCCAGAGGAUAAUCGGGUGUUUGUGUGGAAAUGCAAAUGAAGACAACAGCUACCACAGACAGCAGCUCUGAUAGGCUCCUUCUGUUCUCAGUAGUUAUCCAGAUCUAUUUUCUUCAUACACAAAUCCCAGAAUUCCUGCUUUGGAGAAACAAAGAUGACUUCAGUGAAUGGAAAGCCUGCUUAGAUCUUGAGAACUGGCCAGUCGAGGGGAGCUUCCAGUCUGUGUGGAUCAGAUGAGACAAGACCCAGUUUCCAUCCUCAAGUUUAGUUCUUGGCUUGCUGCAGGUAUGAGUCUCACUAUCCUGGUGGGCUGCGCCCUGAGCUGUGCAUCAGUUUUCAGGGCAGUGAUCUACUGAAUGUAAAUACUGCAUCA
This 425-nucleotide long non-coding RNA is filed under the name Numida meleagris (helmeted guineafowl). RNAcentral describes it as "lncRNA (ENSNMEG00000000978.1)". Lineage: Eukaryota; Metazoa; Chordata; Aves; Galliformes; Numididae. The record is from RNAcentral.